This 172-nucleotide antisense RNA is filed under the name Escherichia coli. RNAcentral's name for it is "sok antitoxin (CssrC)". It matches the Rfam family "sok antitoxin (CssrC)". Rfam says of the family: Also identified in Shigella as CssrC. Lineage: Bacteria; Pseudomonadati; Pseudomonadota; Gammaproteobacteria; Enterobacterales; Enterobacteriaceae. The record is from RNAcentral. RNAcentral also lists the same sequence under 1 other name.
CGGCGCUUGAGGCUUUCUGCCUCAUGACGUGAAGGUGGUUUGUUACAGUGUUGUGUGGCAGAAGGACAAAAGCCCCGUAGUUAAUUUUUCAUUAACCCACGAGGCCUCUGCAUGUCUAGUCCACGUCAGUAUGGCCUCUUACCGUGCAAAUUGCAAGGAGGAGUAAACCAUG